ACAAAAGGCUAUUUCAUGGAACCUUCUUUUUCGCAAAUUCAGAUUAUUAAAUACACUCCCAUUUACACGCAUUGGCUUUCACAUGGAACUUUCCUUGCUUGUUGUUAGCUGCUAAAUUAUCCUUUAGUUGCCAAGUUCCAAAAUAAUACUUCAUCCUAAUCAAUCACUUCAUUUUAAACUUGUGCCACACUCACAGAAUUUGAAAGUGACGCACCCUGUGAUUUUCUUUCUGCAGUCACGGGUUCAAAGGAUCUCGUGAUGAUUAUAGUAUUGACUCAACUUGUUGGAAAGAGCAAAAAACAAGUGGUCAAUAUGACUACAAGUUAAAGGUCUUGCUAAUGCAAGUUUCAUUCUAGAACGAGUUCAACUUCACAAAAUGUCUUGCUACUUGUUUUUUACUCUUUAUGCAAUUGUAUAGAUAACGUGCACGUGAAGAAAAUUUAUAUUUCAAGUUGAACCUGUUAUCGUAUAUAAGGCAACCACAUGCCUUGAAAGGCCAAAACCAAAGGCCUCCUUGUUUCUUCACCUUAACUUCUUCUGCUGAAUAAGAUUUUUAUAAGUCAAAAAGCAUCAAGGUGUCACUCAUUUCAUAAACUUUGUAACACAAUCUAUGUUUGCUGGUGAGGUAACUGAAACUCAACGAGAAACUGCAUUAACUAAAACACUUUUGUUUAGUAUUUCAUUUUACCAUUCAUCUUAUCAGGAACAAUUCAUCUUUUGUUGUUCAUCUACAGGGUAUUAGUGAGUUGAAGAUUGGCCUGUUAGGAAUGCUUGUUAGUUUGUGGUUAUUGCCUCUCAAAUAAGCCUCUCGUUUUGUAUAUUUUUAUCAUUUUCAAUCAAUCCGAUGAGUUACUUUUACGAAACUUCUCUUCUAUUCUUUAAACUCUAUACCAUGUGGUCACAUCAAUUCGACGUUAUUCUCUUUCUUAAGAAUUCAAUAAUAGAAUUAAAAGUCCUAAAUUAAGAUGAAAUGAGUGAGACAAGUAAUAAAUAGAGAGUAAUAUUUAUAAAUUUAUUAUCCUAUUAAAAUUUUAGAUUUAAGUUAGUGUCACGUCUCUCAUACAUAUUGGCUCAUAACUCAUGAAUCUUUUCAACAUAUAUUGAUUGUGUCUAAUAUGUUAUCUUUAAAACUUAACACUUCUGAUAUUGAGUUUCCAUUAUGCAGUGAGAAGAAACAAAAGUCUAAGAACAAACCACGUAAAAGCAAAAGAUAGAGGAUGAACAGUAAAACUUGUAUUUGUAUUUGCAUGCUCAAAAGCACAAAACCUAAAGGGUAUAUACAACAAUGAAACAACAAAAAAUGGGCUUAUAAGCAGGCCCAACAAAAAGAAAAAAAAGACAAAAAAAAAGCGUAGCCCAAUAGUCUUCCUUGAGCUGGAGAUUGAAAGCUUACCAACCCAAGCUUCAAAACAAUAGCGUUGAAUAUGGUUUCAUCAAGCAUCUUGGUGAAAAUAUCAAUAAGUUCUUCACAGCUUUUGAUACAAGAACAUCCAUUUUUUAUUAAACAUGUAUAUGAUAUUUUUAUUUCAAAAUAUUAUUAUUUAAUUAAACACUUUUAGAGUGUAGAAGGUAGAAAGGUUGUGCGUAUAGUAUUUUUUUUAUAGUAACAUGCACAAAUAGAUGGUAAAACGGGCGUUUUGGUUUAAUCAUCAUUGAUCCGCU
This 1662-nucleotide long non-coding RNA is filed under the name Phaseolus vulgaris (common bean). RNAcentral describes it as "long non-coding RNA (PVUL_LNC005144)". Lineage: Eukaryota; Viridiplantae; Streptophyta; Magnoliopsida; Fabales; Fabaceae. The record is from RNAcentral.